This 246-nucleotide ribosomal RNA is filed under the name uncultured bacterium. RNAcentral describes it as "partial 16S ribosomal RNA". It matches the Rfam family "Bacterial small subunit ribosomal RNA", at positions 30 to 276 of the family's 1533-position model. The record is from RNAcentral.
AUUGAACGCUGGCGGCAUGCCUAACACAUGCAAGUCGAACGGUAACAGGCCCUUCGGGUGCUGACGAGUGGCGGAUGGGUGAGUAAUACUUAGGAAUCUACCCUGUAGUGGGGGACGAACCCGGGAAACGUCGGCGUAAUACCGCAUACGCUCUACGGAGGAAAGACGGGGACGGCAAGGCCUCGCGCUAUUGGAUGAGCCUAAGCCCGAUUAGCUAGUUGGUGGGGUAAUAGCCUACCAAGGCAA